AAAGUCGUAACAAGGUUUCCGUAGGUGAACCUGCGGAAGGAUCAUUAUCAUCUUAUUUGAGAUUUUGGAACUAAACAUUCCAUCUUCUCAUAUAUCAUCAACCAAUCGUGAACCGUAACUUUGCCUCCAAUAAACAUUAUGUUACGUGAGUGCCCAUUGUAAGCACUACGUCGAUAUAUUUUAUUAUGUAUCAACGUGGAACACUCCUUAUGAAGUGGUUUAGAGUGCUCUUUGUUUACAAUAUGCCUUGAGCCCUUAAACAAGGCUCACACUUUCGUUUAUUGGUUGUAUUUAAAUCAUUUCUUUUUAAUUUACAAUUUGAACAAAUCAAUUCAAAAACAAAUGAACUGAAUUGUUUUCUUUUUCGAUAACUUCAUUGUUAUUGAUAAGAAAAUCUACAAAAAUGUAAUGAAAAAACAAAAACAACUCUUAGCAACGGAUAUCUUGGUUCUC
RNAcentral lists this unclassified non-coding RNA (453 nucleotides) under Basidiomycota sp. RNAcentral's name for it is "partial contains small subunit ribosomal RNA, internal transcribed spacer 1, and 5.8S ribosomal RNA". The stretch from base 1 to 47 matches the Rfam family "Eukaryotic small subunit ribosomal RNA", at positions 1785 to 1831 of the family's 1831-position model. The record is from RNAcentral. Lineage: Eukaryota; Fungi; Basidiomycota.